AUUGAACGCUGGCGGCAGGCCUAACACAUGCAAGUCGAACGGUAACAGGAAGCAGCUUGCUGCUUUGCUGACGAGUGGCGGACGGGUGAGUAAUGUCUGGGAAACUGCCUGAUGGAGGGGGAUAACUACUGGAAACGGUAGCUAAUACCGCAUAACGUCGCAAGACCAAAGAGGGGGACCUUAGGGCCUCUUGCCAUCGGAUGUGCCCAGAUGGGAUUAGCUAGUAGGUGGGGUAACGGCUCACCUAGGCGACGAUCCCUAGCUGGUCUGAGAGGAUGACCAGCCACACUGGAAUUGAGGCACGGUCCAGACUCCUACGGGAGGCAGCAGUGGGGAAUAUUGCACAAUGGGCGCAAGCCUGAUGCAGCCAUGCCGCGUGUAUGAAGAAGGCCUUCGGGUUGUAAAGUACUUUCAGCGGGGAGGAAGGGAGUAAAGUUAAUACCUUUGCUCAUUGACGUUACCCGCAGAAGAAGCACCGGCUAACUCCGUG
Molecule: ribosomal RNA, 490 nt
Filed under: uncultured bacterium
Lineage: Bacteria
Description: partial 16S ribosomal RNA
Rfam family: Bacterial small subunit ribosomal RNA
Source: RNAcentral